This 2976-nucleotide long non-coding RNA is filed under the name Homo sapiens (human). Its description in RNAcentral is "HSALNT0181504". The record is from RNAcentral. Lineage: Eukaryota; Metazoa; Chordata; Mammalia; Primates; Hominidae.
UGAGUGAUUUCAGUACAGAGGCAGGGGAAAGACAAUGACCUUCAAAUGACCUUUCCUAAUAUGCCCAGAGUGACUGUUCUGCAUCAGGAAGCAUGGGCUAUGUUUGAAUUGAGGGCCAUAGCCUGGAGGUCUGAUCCGAAUUCCCUUUCCCUGGACUGGAAGAAACACAGUCUCACUAUCUUGCCAACAACUGCCUGUGGCAAAUUCAGUACCCGGCUUGAUGCAGCAUUUGGAGGAAAAUUUUCCAUGAAAACAAAAGUUUUUGCUUAAUUAUUCAGCACACUCAUGCAUUUAAAAAUACUGUCCACUCUCUAACUAGCUGUCUUUUUAAUAAAGCUUCUUGUCUCCCAAGGAGCUCGGCUCCCAUUGUCUAAGGCUUCUUUAUAAAGAACUCUGGGCCAGGCAUAAUCCCAGCUGUCCCUGGGUUUAGAGUGAAGCUUCCCCAGGCAGAGUGAGGUGUCUGAACUGCUUUUCCACAGAGAUAUGAGGAAAGCACAUCUGAGCUCCCUAGGGGCUGGUGUAGGCAGAGUGUGGAUGGCCAUUAGACAGUGAGACAAGGUCAUUUGCCCCUAGCGUGGCUGGUGAGUUUAAGGGGAUCAGAAAAGUCUUUCUCCAUACUGUUUCUUCAUCCAAUUUUAUUUAUCCAUUCAUCUGACAUCUACUCAUCUGGCCAUCCAUCCAACACAUAUUUGUUGCCUACUGUGUACCCAACACUGUUCUAUGUCCUGAGACCAUCUGUACAGAGAAGAAUCAAUGUAGAACAAUUUUCAGAGGAAACUGGGAAUUUUUCUAAUGGCCUAGAGGAGACCUUGCAGUUUUUGCCUUUCCCCAAUUUAUUAUCUGAUUUCUUUGGAACUUGCUUGAUGCAUGGCGUUUGGGAGACCUGGCUCCACUGAUAGAGAUUAUCUCAUCACGAGGAGGGGUGUCAGACCUCAGCUCCCAGAGGGCAGAAACGUGCUUGUCUUGCUGACUUCAUGCACAGUUCAGCCCAGCACUAGCUCAGCAGAAGGUGGAUAACUGAAGGAUCUGGAUGGUUAAAUGCUAUUUAUCAAAACAGCAGCCCACUUAGAUACCAGAGUUGCCGCAUUUAAUGCAGUUACCAACCUACGUGUGUCCCCUUAAUAUUCUAGCCUACUUCCCCAGUCUCCUUGCUGAAGAUGCCAGGAACAGCAACAUCAAAGAAAGAGAAAGUGCCUGAAGUUGGAAUAGUGAGUCAUUCUGGAGUGAAGCCAGCGAAUUGGGAGGGGCUGUCACUUUGCCCAUGAUCCUGCCAGAGGGUCUUUCUGCCACCAUUUACCUUUUCUGAGGCGCUGACUUCUUUCUAGCAGGGGUGGAGACGUGGGUUGGGUGGUGAUGGUUUGAGGAAUGGAGUUUGCAGUCAUCUCCAACUCUGGGCCAUAGAAGGCAGUUCAGGCUUACCAAUCAUUUGAUUUCCACAGCUAAAUAGAGGACAGUGAGAGGACAGUAGCAUUCAGAAAGAAUUUAGGUAGACAUUUGGGAGGACUUCCUGACUCUAAGGUCCCAAAGAGACUGAAAAGUUAAUGAAUUAGCCAUGGCCAUUGGUUUCUUCAUCUGUUAAACUGGGAUAAAUUCCUAUCUUGAAGGUGGCUAUAAUGACAGGAUUUAAAGAGAUAAUGUAUCUGAGGGCCCCAAGCACAGUGGUUGACACAUAAUAAGCACUUAAUCCUUGUUGAAUCUCGAAUUUGAAUAUGAUUCCUGGAGAGGAAAGAGAGGCUUCUUAGAGAAGGCAGCCUCUAAGCUGGACCAUGUACAUUGCUAAGAAUAUUUUGGCCAAUAGGAUACUGCUUUUUAAGGAUUUCCCCCAUGGACAGUCCAUCUUGCAAAUGACUCUUCUGAUAUUGACUUUAAAAAUAAAAUUGUUAUCCUGAGCCUCUUUUGGAAACAUAAAAAACAAAGUGCAAAGAGAUCACUGCCGUUCUCAGAUUCUGUGAUUUGCCCAUACCAAGAGUCAGAAGGUCUCCAGAGCCAUUGGCACUGAGAUCUGAACAUAAGCUAUGGUUUCUGAGCAGGUAGGAGAAAAUAAAACUCCAGUAUUUUGUCAAUAAGUGCCUUAACUCGGUAUUGCUAAGCUUAUUAUUUCCAAUUCCCUAUUCUUUUCUUACAUCAAAAGUUAAAAGAGUAGGGAUUCUCUACUUUGUCCCACUAAAGACAAUAGAGUAGAUAAUAGGAUGGCAUUACAGCAGUGCAGAUUUAUAGUAGACAUUGGCAAGAACUUUGAGAUAGGAAAGAAGGGAUUAAAAUUGGACUGGAUAGCCAGAGCUAGCCUGAGAUUCUUUUUCAGACAUCUUCAAGAAUGGGAGAGGCUACUGUCUACCUAACACAGGUGCCUCAUAAGAUUACCUUGUAAGAUUUCUUCCAGAUCCAAGAUUCUCCAGAGACAAGGCUGAGAAACAGUUGUCAUGCUUAACUUCAGAAGCUGCUGAGCGUGGCCAGGGUCAGAAGCGGUCCCUUCAGAGGGACCUAUGUUUUGUUUCUGCUGCCAUUUGGUAAAGGGAGUCACCAGACUGGGAGAAUCGUUUGACAAGUGAGGUCAGGGAAAUGGCAAUUUUUGAUCCCAGGUGGCGAGAAAGCCUCCCAGUGAAGGUAAACAGAAGUGGAGAUAGAUCAAGGGGUGAGGGGUCAGUCCAUUAGAAGGCUGACAAGGCCAGCUGUCUUCUGGAGUGUCUGGAGGGAGGGAUGCUGAUGUGAUUGACCUCAGUCUUGGGAUGGGAGCAGGAGCGGGGGAAAGGACGUGAGUAGCAGGAUGGAGGAAGGAGACCACGGCAAGAGUGAGAAAGGGGCAUCUCUAGCCCAAUUUCUGCACAUGGAUACUGCUAGCUUUGGGCAGUUUAGCCUUGUGCUGCAGUUGUGCCAAGUGGAGUUGAGAGGUUGGCUAAAAAAAAAAAACCCAAAAAACCUCUUACUCAUUUGCAUGUGGUAUUUGCAUCUCAUUUGCAUAUAUUCACUUAAUGUCAG